CGCUGGCGGCAUGCCUUACACAUGCAAGUCGAACGGCAGCGCGGACUUCGCGUCUGGCGGCGAGUGGCGAACGGGUGAGUAAUACAUCGGAACGUACCCUGUUGUGGGGGAUAACUAGUCGAAAGAUUAGCUAAUACCGCAUACGACCUGAGGGUGAAAGUGGGGGACCGCAAGGCCUCACGCAGCAGGAGCGGCCGAUGUCUGAUUAGCUAGUUGGUGGGGUAAAGGCCCACCAAGGCGACGAUCAGUAGCUGGUCUGAGAGGACGAUCAGCCACUCUGGGACUGAGACACGGCCCAGACUCCUACGGGAGGCAGUAGUGGUGAAUUUUGGACAUUGGGUACAACCCUGAUCUUUCAAUGCCGCGUGUGUUUAGAAGGCCUUCGGGUUGUAAUGCUUUUUUUGUCUGUAAAUAAAUUUUCUGUUUAAUACUAGGUGUGUAUGUUAGUUCCGGAAGAAUUUUCUUUGUCCUUUCUACUUGCCAUCUGCCAUUUUAUAAGUUUUGUGUUAUUUUUUGUUAAAUUUUUUUUUUUUUACUUGUUACCUUUUUUUUUUUUU
This 557-nucleotide ribosomal RNA is filed under the name uncultured bacterium. Its description in RNAcentral is "partial 16S ribosomal RNA". It matches the Rfam family "Bacterial small subunit ribosomal RNA", at positions 34 to 477 of the family's 1533-position model. The record is from RNAcentral.